GAAACAGGGACCAAGGAGUCCAGAGCGUGCGCAAGUCUAUGGGUCUCCCUGCAGCCCUAAAGGCGAAAUGAAGGUGAGGAGGAGGNUCUUCCUGUCCUUCUCAGCCGUGAUCNUGGUCCCUCCGCGUUCCAGGCGCAACGGCGGCUCGUUCGUGCGUCUCCGGACGUCGGGCGAAGCAUGANCGCACUCUNUGGCACCCGAAAGAUGGUGACCUAUUCCUGGGGAAGACGAAGCCAGAGGAAACUCUGGUGGAGGUUUGAAGCGUUUCUGACGUGCAAAUCGAUCGUCUGAUCUGGGUAUAGGGGCGAAAGACUAAUCGAACCAUCUAGUUGCUGGUUCCCUCCGAAGUUUCCCUCAGGAUAGCUGGCGCUCACAAAGCAGUCUCAUGCGGUAAAGCGAAUGAUUAGAGGCUUUGGGGUCGAAACGACCUCAACCUAUUCUCAAACUUUUAAUGUGUGAGAUGUCGGAGUUGUUCGAGAGAUAAACUCCGGCGCGCGAUGAGAGUGCCCAGUGGGCCAAUUUUGGUAANCANAACUGGCGCUGUGGGAUGAACCAAACNCCGGNUUAAGGCGCCCGAUGCGAGACGCUCAUCAGAACCCAUUUAANGGUGUUGNNUGCUUAANACAGCAGGACGAGUGGCAUGGAAGUCGGA
Molecule: ribosomal RNA, 652 nt
Filed under: Cercoleipus coelonotus
Lineage: Eukaryota; Metazoa; Arthropoda; Arachnida; Mesostigmata; Cercomegistidae
Description: eukaryotic LSU rRNA
Rfam family: Eukaryotic large subunit ribosomal RNA
Source: RNAcentral